GUCGUCUCUUUCUUCAUAAUUCCAGAGAGCUCGACCAAAUAAGACCCCUAACCUCACCCUUAAUCUGUGCACAAGGUUAUCCAACAAGAUUAUCGUCCGAGGCACGAAAUCAUGAAGCAAUAACACUAGAACGAUCCCCACGACGUAAGUAUCGCUAUAUAGCUUCUCUUUUUCUUUGUAGUUUGAGUUUUGGAAGGUAUUUUAAAGUUAAUAAAAAUGCCUUAUUUCUGGUUUCAAGCUCUUAAACAUCAAGUAAGAUUCAUUAAUUUAUUUCAUAAUAGAUAGAACUCAUGGGACGGUGAUCGGAAGCCGUGAGUUCGAGUUAUUUGAUUUGUAAUGGACUGUUUUGUGGGCUGUUUCGUGUAGCUUUUGGGCUGUAUAUUUUUCUGCUAUUUAAUGGAGUUUUUGGAAGAUAAAUUGUGUGGAGAAACACCACCUAAUGGCGAAAUAAUGGAUUAGUCAUUCUUUGUAAUAUUUUUGGGGCGUUGGACACUACUAUAGUCGUCGUUUUUUGUAUGAAUUGAUUGAGGUAUCUUGGGCUGUUGUAAUCUAAAUAUAACAUGGAUUUCGACUUGCAUUCACUGUAGCAGGUAAUUAUAUUGUGUUCCUACAGGCGCUUAAGGUUAUCUUGGCAUUUAUUAAGUUAAAUGGAUGAACUAGACAUGAACUAGUGUAUAAAGUUGCUAAUUAAGAAUAUUUGGAGUUGUGGAUCAUUUUCUUUUUUAUGGAUAUAUGGUAUAAGGCUGAAUAUUGAUGAAUGACUUCAUAUUCAUGUUAAUNAUACUNNNNNNNNNNNNNNNNNNNNNNNNNGGAGGCUCUUGUUUUAGGGGAGAUGCUGGCCGAAUUUAUAUAAACGAACUACAAGUUUAAGUUGCAGACUUAUCCUUUAUUCAACACUGAUUUUGAAUCUCCUUAUGCAACGGUAGAUUGAGUUGAGUUGUUUGAAGAGUAGCUUGGGAGGUAUUAAGGACUCACCAUGGUUAAGGUAUGUUAAGGCACUUCCCUCUUUCUUUUGGCAUGAUCUAAAGUGAAAUGAAUACUCUAUUUCAUAACGGAUCUACUCCUAGAAACUAAGGUUGCCCAUGUUGUUCUUUCCUUAUAAGUUAUUCUAAGCAAGUAUGUAUGAUCCUUGAAUCCUGUAGAAGCUCAUAUUGAUGGUAUGAUACCUUCGCGCUGACCGUUCGCUUUCUCAGUAGCAAAAGCGCUUCUCUUUGCCCCUUAACCUUAAGUAGAAGGACAAGAAAGAGAUUAUUGAUUUUCUUGCUCCCGCUUCCUCAUAUGCGCUCAUCAAGCCAACUUUGCUCUUUGGGAGGUGAAACAGCGGUUAAAGCGGACAUUUCAAAAUGACAGCAUCGAAGAUAUAUUUCUAUAUAUACACGGUUAUAGCUAUCUCGGACUGCGAUGUCCAUAAUGUUAAUCGAAAGUGCAACGACCUUAAGUCACUCCAAAAGGUUUAGAACGUGACUCCAUGAGUCUAGUAUGCACUAUAUAUAGUAUCUAUUUUACUCUACAGAGUCGCGCUAUAGUAGGCCGGAUACUGCACCUAUUGUGCAGCCAUUGAUCAGUUGGAUUUAUCGAGCUCCAUGUGGCCGGGUACGAUUCUACCGAGCCUUAUGUUGUCCGGGUACAUUUUUACCGAGUCCUCUUUGAUGCUGGGUACGAUAUGAUGAUGAUAAUGCCUAUGGAGGCGGAUGUUUUUAAAAGUUUAUGUAUAUAUAUGUAUUAUUCAUCUUAAGUCAGCAGCCCCCAGAGGCACACAGAUGUUACAGAUUGUAUCUCCUCUAUCUCUAUUUAUAUUACUGUUCUUGUUUAUGUUUUCCUGCCUUACAUACUCGGUACUUUAUUUGUACUGACAUCCCUUUUGCCUAGGGACGCUGCCUUUUAUGCCUUCAAGUCCCAAUUGAUAGGUUGACAUUCCUCCUAGUAGGCUAUAAGCUCAGUGGAGGUGUUGGUGCACUCCACUUGUUCCGGAGUUGCCUAUUUGGUCAGUAUGCUUUGGAUAUGUAUUGAUUGAUAUGACGGGGCCCUGUCCCGACCUUUAUGAUUUUAUGUACUCUUAAAGGCUUAUUGACAGAUGUCAGGUUUAUGGAUACUUGUAUGGCCUUGUUGGCCUAAGUGUUGAGUUUACAAAUGGUCAUGUCGUCCUUAUAGGUCUGUAUGUCACAUGUAUGAGUUUCUACAUCAUAUUGGGUUGUCCUAUGUCUAGUAUUCCUUUAUGUUUAUUCUGGUUAUCUCAUGACGACCCUUUUGGCCCAUUUAUCCAUGAUAGUAUUAUAAGAAAUUAAAAGUUACGUUGGUACUCGGUUGAGUAAGGUACCGGGUGCCCGUCAUGGCCCUCCUAUUUUGGUCGUGACAAAAAUACCGAAAAUUUAAAAAUCAUAUAGGAGACUAGGAGUGUAGACUGGCCAGCGCCCCAGCCCAAGUGCUGACCCAAAAGCUAAAAUUUUAAUUUUUGGAGCCCAACCCAAUAACCCAAAAGUCUUUCACUUUCUUAAUUCAUACCCUAAGUCCUAACAUCUGAGAAACCUAAGAACUAAGAAGUAAAAACGACUGAGAGAGUGAGAAACCUAAGUAUGAACAAACGACUCGCAUGUGAGAUCACUGUCCGUCGUCUGCUGUCGCCACUCACCAGUGAGAUUGCCAGAUUGGCUGUCCGGCGUCCGCUCUCUGCUGUCAACUCUUCAAAUCAAGACUUCAAUAGGUUCAUAACUUUUCAAUUUUUUAUUCUUCAAUCUUCAUUUUUCUAAUUUGUCUCGAGAAACUCUCAUUUUAUGAUCUAAGUUUUGAAGUUUAGAUAGAACUAAUGUCCAUUUUCUCGGAUGCUCUGCGAAGUUUUGAAGUUUUGUAUUAUCGAUUUUUUUAUUGCUUUGAGGUGGCUGUGUUUUUUUUUGCUCUGUGAGUGGAACAGAUGAGCUCAUCCAUGCUCUUUCUCCAAGAUAUGCUUCUAGUAGUAUAUUAUAGUUCUAUCUUGCGUUCGAGGGAAUUUAGAUAUUUAGUAAUUGGAAGACUUGGAGGAUUUUAUGAUGUUGAUUAGUAAUGAAAUUGAUUUUCUCUGUUUGUGACUCGUCUCUGUGGACGCUUGCUGAAGUUACUUGUUACUAUGAAUUAGUUGGUGAUGUAUUAAGGGAAAAUUAAUUGUAAUUUGAGAUUUUUGUUAAAAAUGAUCAAUUUGUUUGUUUUUGUGGUGUGAGUGGUCUGGCUAGUUCUUUCACUGAAGACCAUCAGUGGCUAGUUUGGUCUUUCGAUGGAAUGUUAUGGCAGUAAGCCCGUUGGUAUUUGUUAUUGGUGUGAUAUUGCAUUUUUCAAAUUUAAAACAUACCAAAUAUGGAGGAAUAUUACUGUAAUAUGACACACAAUCUCCACAUUAUGUGGUCCCUAGACUAGUUAUAGAAACUCAUUGAACUGCUAAUGUCCUAUUCUCUAACUUUGCUGUUAGUUGCUGCAAGACCUAAAGCUUGUUGAUUCUUAAUUUGUGUUUAUAUUUGUUUAAUUUUGUAUAGAUGGCAGAUGAAAGUAGAGUAAGUAAUGCUGGUUCAAGUGAAUUGUGUUUAUUUGUGAGUUAGGAAAAAUUGGCAGCUUUGAAUUGUGCACAGUUGUACAAAAUUGUGCAAUGUGCACUUUUAAUCGCUAAAUAAGCACUGUACACUUUUAAUGUGCAAUGUGCACUUUUAAUCGUUGUGUACAGUGCAUUGUUGUACAAAAUUGCGCACUCGUUAAUCGUUAUUGCACUUGCUUUAGAGUUUGAAUUGUGCACUAGCACACUUUCACUCGUAAGUGUUGCCUUGAAUUGUGCACUGUUGCUUACUGCUUAGUAUUGAAUAUAGCGAUUAUUGUCACUCGUUAGCAUUGCUUACUUAGCGAUUAUUAAAUCGAAACCGUAUCGAAACCGUACCAAACCAAAAUAAAAAAUACUGAACCGUACCGAAAUACUUUGGUACGAUAUUUGGUAUACACAAUUGAUAAACCGAAUACCGAAAUACCGAACCAAAAUUCUUAAAUAUCGAACCGAAAUACCGAAUGCACACCCCUACCAAGAACGGAUUUCGAAAGGCUAACGUCAAAAGUCGAAAGUCUAAAUCCCCAAAAACAUAGGAACAAAAAAGAAAAACUGAAAAAACUGAAAGGAGAAAAGUCCCUCUUUUUACAUUGCCAAAAACGUAUCCACAAGAGACAUCUUUACAAAAUCAAUCCCCUGGGGACUGCAUACAAAAGGAAAAAGAAAGGUUGCAUAUGACUUGGGGACUACCCUUCAUCACCACUAUCUUCGCCCUCAUUUGGGACGGGUAAAAGAGCCAGUUCCCUCUCCAAUUCGCGGGCUUCCUCAAGAUAAAUGACAGAUCGAUGCCCCGGGCUCCGAUCUCCUCCAGGGUUUCUCUCCUCGCCUCCGCCUUAGCAUGAUUAAUAGCCCGAGCUAGCUUAUGCUCGGCUGCUAUUGAUACGUCAUGAGCUAUUUUAUGUGUCGUGGCUGCGUCAUCAAGAUAAGUGGCAGCAUUUCUUUCAAUCUUGGACUUGGCCGCGACCAGGGAAGCAAACUCCUUGUGAGCAUUCUCGAGAAGAUCAUGGGAUGACGCCAACUCCUCAGUAGCUACCUCACUUUGCUUCCUCAGCCCGAGGAUCUCCACAUUCAAUUGACUAAUUUGUGAACCAUUUUGCUCGACCUGCAAAAGAAAGGUAAGUCAAUUUCUGUCAGAAUGUGGGAGCAAAGGUCGAGUAGGUCGAGAUACCUGCACAGCAAGAUCAGCCUUUUCCCAGAGCGCUCUCUCCAAAGCAGCUCAAAGCUCUCCUAAUUCUUUCUCUCCUCGGGCAGAGUGAGCCUCCAAAUCCCGCAGCAUCGAGGCAAGCUUCUUACACUCCCCUUCGCGGUAAGAAAGCUCCUCGUGGAGCCGAACGAGGUCAUGAUCAUACAUAUCCUUGCACUAUGACAUAACAGAAAAGUUGGAAAGACGAUGAAUGAUGCCCAAGACUAAAAGAAAUAUACGAAAGACAACUAUCACUUUCCGUAUGAAUCUCUCCGCCGCCUUGAAGGCUCCAGGAAUGUCAAGACCGAUACUAUCGCUAACACCGUCAAAGAUGUUGGAAAGAGAGCCUCCCCCUUGGAGAGGAAUCCCUGCUUGGACAGUGUUCUCUUCUUGAGCGUCCCUCAACUCCCCUGACGAGACCUGAAAGCACGAGAUGAAAUCAUUCAUGUCGCCGAUUUCCCCAAAAGGCAACCCUUGCUCCUAAAAAGCUCCGAGCCCCGACCCUUCAGGAUCGAUAGCAGCGGUCCCCCCAAUGGGAACUGCGCCAAACCCGGUCAUGCGAUCUGUAGCCACAUUAACACCCCCUCAAGGGUCUCUGGUCUACGGGACCGACCUGAUUCGUCCAUUCCAGACUCAGCAGCCUCCGAUCGAGGCACAUGCGAGGCUCCCGCACUUGACCUUGUCCUCUGGGCCAACUGGCAUUCAUCGUCAUCCUCGUCCUUGGCGCCGGGAUUUGCCCCUGAAGUUGAAACAGAGGUCCUAGCAGCGGCUUGAUGUUCGAGUGACCUAUAUUUCUUUAUCGUAGGAAGGUCGACAGCGGCCUUGCCUUCCCUCUUCUUGCCCUUGCCGGGCGCUGAGACCUCCGUCCGGCCACUAGGGGCGGCCUCAUCUCUAUAUUCUUGCCAAGGCCUGCACAAGCAUGAUAACCAUAAUUUGUCAGCACAGGGGACACAGAGAGAAAUGCGAAUCUAAGACAUAGGCAGCAAAGAAGCUCUGCCAUGAUUCUUGGCCACCCAUCGCUCUUUGGCCAGGUCGGUCCAACACCGAACAUGAUACGGGAAUGCGGCAUCGAACCAUCUGAUCCACCCUGGCAAGUCUGAAACCGCCUCGGGGUACCAAGCAGCGGCUGUGUGAAACGACAAAGAAAUCAUCAAUCCGGAAAAAAGGGAAGAAAAUUACCAAAUAUGGUUAAGGGAGAGUCGCUUACGUUGUGUGUUCCACCUCUCCGGGAAAGGCAUCCUCUGGGCUGGAAUGAUGUCCGAGGUCCUUACCCGGACGAACCUGCCCAUCCAUCCCUGGUCCUUCCCCUCGUUGAUGCUCGAGAAAAAUGAUUUUUAGAUCGAUUAUGGAGCCUAAUCAAACCUAGAUAAAACCGAGGGUUGUACAGCAUAAUCAAAUGGUUGAGGGUAAAAACCUCGCCCACAACCCCUUUUGUGAAAUGACGGAGCAUCAAUACUAUCCUCCAGAUAGAGAGAUAGAUCUGGCCGAGCGUCACUUGAUAUUUAUCGCAAAAAUCAAGGAUAACCGGAUCUAUUUUUUGGGGAGAAGUUUUAGAAGAUUCAGAGGACUCAGCAGGACCCAAGGUUAACGGGUAGGUAUACACAUGAUGGAAUCCGUCCUUGUAGUCCGUUAUAUUCUCGUUAGGGCCGGAAAUUUCCACCUUCACUGCCUCGCCCCAUCAGCAGUCUGUCUUCACUGUUUCGAUGUUGGUUACUACACUAAUGUAUCGGGACACAUGUUCACAUCGGUCUGAUGUGGAUGAAGUGGCAUCUACGAUAAAAUCUUUUGACUUGUCAAGCUUUGAGGGAGUGCACUGUUCCAAGGUGGGUACCGCUUUGGCUUUCUCCUUGGACGGCCGAGAUAAAGAUGCAGCUUUAUUCCACCGAGGAACCGUUCUAGAAGUCCUGGCCAUAGCAAUGGUAAAAUUUCCUCUCAGAAAGCAAGACGAAAGAGUGUAAAAGAAGAUGGGUGUGGACUCAUGAAUUUGAAGAUGCUACGAAGAUGAAGAUUAUCAAACAGUGGAUGUAUUUAUAGGAAUCGCUUGGGCAGCGGAAAGGACGAGCCAAUAGUAGUUCGUGGGUUCCUCAAUAAUCGCAUUUGACGGCGACCCUUGCAAGGUUUUCUGGGACAUGGCAUUUAAUGCUCUUAUAGGUUGACGUCACAGCAAUGAUGGUCUCAGAAUGACGGCUCAAAAUCGUUUCCUAUUACUUUGUUCCAGGAAAUGCGGAGAUUAUUUGUAUACGAUGAAAUCGGAGGGUCCAAUUCCUCGUCAUUAAGGUGUUCCGGGAAAUCAUCUCGAGAUCUCGAGGCUGCAAGAUUGCGGUCGAGUUCUCUCCCUCGAUGUCCAUUUACGCUCGACCCAACGACGAUGCCAAGGAUGGGAGUUCCCAAGGCGAGCAGAUAGCACUAGCAAAGCCUGGCGUCACAUCUGGCUGUCCCAUCUCCAUAUCUUUACAAUUAAUGUAUUUUGUACUAUGUUGGGAUUCCCCUCCUAUAUAAAGGGGAUCCUUACCAUUUUGUAAGCCCCCUGCUGUUGCUCCAACUAUUCUACACGAAAUAUACAAGAACUCUUUCUUUUCUCUCUAACAUAUUCCCUCGACACUAUUGUUAUUGCUUAUUACUUUUAUACUUGUUCUUCAUUUAUUGCUUGUUAUUGGCCAAAAAGAGCAUCAUUUAAUUACAUUCUAACUGUUAGCCCUCUCCCGAUUAUCCCUGAUAGCUCGAGCCCGAGCCCAGGCAUCGACCUCGAGGUCCCUCAUCGGUUAGUCCGAGGCCCGGAAAGCUAACCCCUCGGUCUGAUUAUAACUCUUGUUUAGUUUCAUCUUUUAUCUUCACAUAUCUAGCAUCAACUACUUUAACAACUAACAUAAAAAUAGAUCACAUAUUUUUAGAGUCUCAUCAAUAAAUUUAAUUAUUAUUACUAUUUUCACGGUAAACACGAACGAAAUCUCGAACUCCGUCUUCAAAAUAAAUAACUUAAACUAAAUAGUUUUCCAAAAUGAAUCUUGACUAUACAAGAACAAUGUUUUUUUUUUCUUAGUUCUUAUGUUUUCUGUCCGCCCCUUUUUCUUUCUUGUUACUUCCUCCCCCAAUUUUGUUCUCUUCUCUUCUUUAUAAAGAAGAAUAAUGGUGGUUAUUAAAUCUUGUGCCCAGAAUUUGGAGUGGAAACGUGGGAUUAAAAUGAAGAAGAGGAAUUGAGACGUGACUGUGUGUGCUAGUGUAAAGUGACGUGAGGGAGUGGGGAUCAUGGGGUUGGGACGUGAGUGUGUAGGUAGUGAUUAGUUAGAUUGGAAAUUUGUUAAUCUUUUGGUUUUAUUUUCGUUUUUUUUUCUUCUUCUUUUCCUUUUUGUUUUUUCUUUAAAAGAUAAAAUAUAAAGAUAAGAUAAUUAACUACGUAAUUUUUAGACUAAACUAAUAUAGGCAAACUAUUCUAUUACGCUAUAAUUUAAAUGACACCCAAAAUAUAUUAAAGCUAAGCUAACUUAUUUAUUAUAAGUCUAAUUAAAAGAAACCAUAUAUUUUUGUAAACUUUUCGUUUUCUCUUUAUAAAUAGAAAUAAAAUUUAUACUAUAAGCAUGUGAAUAUUUUUUGUAAUUUUUAGCUUUUCUCAAAUAAAACCUAUUAAAAAUAAGAUAAAAGUUUAAAAUAUCAAGAUUAGACCUAGAAAAAAUAUUUACACUAACAUAGUAUAGAAUUCGAGUAUGGUCAAAAAUUAGUUAUUCACAGCAUGCCCCUCUUUGCUUGGAAACAUGAAGAGUUUUCAGGCAAAGAAAAUGAACAUGGUGACUGAUUUUUGACCUCACUAUUAUUUAAAAAGGAAAAGAAGACAAAAGUAAGAGAUGUGACCAAGCAUUGGUUUUAGGCAGCCUACAUAUCCCAGGUUAUAAGGGAAUCAGGUCACUUGUAGUUCAAGUGAAAGAAGAGUGAUGGAGUAUGCUUAGAGGGAGAGUCGAGUGAAGUUUCGUCGAGGUUCUGAUCCGCAGUUCCUACUAUUACAUCAAAAUGAAAAGAAAAUUACAUACUCUUGAAAUCUAAGAGUUAAAAAAGAAUCCUAUCUAAAUGCCAUCUGGAGUCUUAUCUUGAUUCUUUACUUGCUUCUCCCAUUGACUUUAGACUGAAACUUGAUGCUCUCGAUGCAACAGACUAUGAAAUAUUCUUACAGGUCUGCUUCUUGAUCAGGUGAUAAGAAGAUGGAUCUUGAAAUCCUAUGUCUCUGCAUGCAUUAUGUCAAAGCUGGCUCGGUUGGUAUUGAGAUCAAACGUUCCACUUUCUCUGGCGAGAGAUGGAAUCCUAUUUUUUGCAUAUCCAAUCCAUACUUUGUAGAAAAACCUGCAAGUCAUCAGAAACAAACAAAACAGACAAAAAUUUUCUGUCCCAGUUUGCACUAGAAAAUUUUUGUGAGUUAUUGAAAACACAUUAAACUAUCUUGGCUAUUGCAGAAUAAAGAAUUGAAAAACUUUUUUUUGAAUAAUAGGGAUGCUAUACCCUAUGUUAACAACAAAAAAGGCAAUCAGGGGAUGUAGUACCCUAUGUUGAUAAUAAGAUGAGGCUCGUGGCACUCUAGGAUGUUACAAGGGAAUGCCGUACCCUAUGUUGGCAAAAAAUAAUGCAUCCAGCGGAUGUAGUACCCUAUAUUGGCAACAAGAUGAGGCUCAUGGAACUCUAAGAUGCUACUAAGGAAUGUGGUACCCUAUGUUGGUAGAAAAUAAUGUAGCCAGGGGAUGUAGUACCCUGUGUUGGCAAUAAGACGAAGCUCGCAGCACUCUAGGAUGCUACUAGGGAAUGUUGUACCAUAUGUUUGCAAUAAGAAAUGCAACCAGGG
This 9561-nucleotide long non-coding RNA is filed under the name Nicotiana tabacum (common tobacco). Its description in RNAcentral is "long non-coding RNA (NTAB_LNC000523)". The record is from RNAcentral. Lineage: Eukaryota; Viridiplantae; Streptophyta; Magnoliopsida; Solanales; Solanaceae.